Molecule: long non-coding RNA, 1195 nt
Organism: Helianthus annuus (common sunflower)
Lineage: Eukaryota; Viridiplantae; Streptophyta; Magnoliopsida; Asterales; Asteraceae
Exons: 2
Source: RefSeq, a predicted model, not a curated record
CCUAGUUUUUUUCUUAUCCGUUCUACUGUGUCACAAAUACGGACAUGUAUUACUCGUCCAGCCACCGUCCGGUCUGUUUCAAGUCCGGACUGAUGGAGCUCCUACGAAUUUCUAGGGGUUCUUGAUGAGAAAUUUGAGAGUUUCUUGAUGCAAUUAAACUUGGGGGUCUCUUGAUGUUAUUUUAAUUUAAACCAUUUUCAAUUCAUGGCUAGGUGUUUCAGAUCCUGCAGAUCUUUGGAUUUUGUCGAGAUUACUCACAUGCAUGUGAGCGGAUCUUCGGAUCCUUGUCGUAAAUUGGACUGGACGAGUGAAAAGCACCAUGCUGUGUUGUUGGAUCUGUGUUGUUCUUCAGUGUUUUCCGACGAAGAUUCCGGCGGUGGUUCAACUUCAGCAUGUCCCAAUCUCAGCUCAAGGUCCACAUCCUCUUCCGCCGUGUCAUGAUGGUCGAAAAGUAACAAAUCACUACAAGAAAUAACCACUUUUAGCGGCGACACCAUUAGCGGCGACAGGCCAAAUGUCGCCGCUAUUGGUCGAUCCGCAUCCCGGAGUCUGAAACCAAACCCCAGCCGUUGAUCCUUAUCCUGAUCUAACGGUUGGGGAUUUAAAGGGCAUUAGCGGCGACAAGACAAUAGGCAUUAGCGGCGACAGUUGUCUCCGCUAAAAGUCAAUCCGUGUGAAGCUUGAAAAGAGCUGAUCUCUGCCCUUGAUGAGAGUAUGAUCCAACGGUUUGGGUUCCUUCCUGCUUUCUCUUCCUUCAACAAAAACACUCACCCACAAACACAAACACAAACACAAACACAAUCACCAACUCCAUCAUCUUCACAACAACAACAACCUGUUACCACCACCACCGGAUCACCACCACCGUGAAGCAACCACCGCCAUCUUCACAACCAGAGCAUCGCCGGACCAUUACCGGAGCAUCGUCGGAGCACCUGCAUCUUCACCGGAGAAUCACCUGCAUCGCCACCGUCAACCACCACCGUAAAUGACCGUCUUCUUCGUCACCGGAGCACCUUCUCCGUCAAGCUCCGACUUGUUUUUUAGUUUUAUGUAGAAAAUGUGUAAUGUAAUUUUAUGUAAAAGGAUUUGUUUGAGUUUAUGGAUGUAUAUAUAAGAUUUGAAUGAUAACACGGCGAGGAAUUUGUGUUUAUGCUUUGUUUGAGUUUAUGAUACAUGAGAUUUGAAUGAAAAA